AGUACAGUUAUUCUACCCUUCGUGAUGAUAAAGUUUGUUUUCGUUGAAACUGAUUUUCUCUCGUGAAUUAAUAAAGCUCUUGUAGUUUUUUUAAGGAUAGCAACUAUUCUGAAACUAUCAUGCGACUGUUUAAUAAAGGGCUAGUUCGUGGUGAAGUAUGAUUUAUACGUUUAAGUGUUGAAAGCUAAAAAAAUCGGCGACGUUUUUCUGCUAAGCUUUAACAAUAGCAACGUCUAUGAUAUAAAGGAAGUCAGUUAUAUUUAUGAAAAUAGUGCGUAAAUUUCAUGUUUUAGGAGAUUUGUAAUAAUUCAUGUGGCAAAGGCAAUAUUUUAAAAGAACAUAUACAUACUGAUGCAAAAGAGAAACUUCAUGUGUCUGUAAUUUGUAACAAAUAAUUUAGGCAAAUGAGUGAUUUAAUAGAACAGCUGCUUAUUCAUGCAGGACAGAAACUUCAUAUGUGUGAAGUAGGUACGGAACAAUUUAAUCAAAUGAAUAGUUUAAACAUGCAUAUGCAUGUUUAUGCAGGAAAGAAAAUUUAUGUGUGCAAAAUAUGUAAAAUGCCAUUUAAUCACAAAGGUUAUUUAAAGAAUCAUAUGCUUAUUCAUAAAGGAGAGAAACCUCACGUGUGUGAAGUGUGUGAGAAGUCAUUUAGGAGCAAGGGUGCUUUAAACAUGCAUAUGUAUACUCACACAGGAGAGAAACCUCAUGUGUGUCAAUUUUGUAAAACGUCAUUUAGUUUAAGAGGUAAUUUAAAUAUGCACAUGCUUAUUCACACAGGAGAGAAACGUCAUGUGUGUGAAGUAUGUGAAAAGUCAUUUAGAUUAAAAGCUACUUUAAACAGGCAUAAGCUUAUUCACACAACAGAGAAAUCGCAUGUAUGUGAAGUUUGUAUGAAGUCAUUUAGAUUAAAAACUUCUUUAAACAGGCAUAUGCUUAGUCACACAGCAGAGAAGUCUCAUGUGUGUGAAAUAUGUAAGAAAUCAUUUUGUCAUAAAACUAGUUUAAAUGCACACAGGCUUACACACACAGGAGAGAAACCUCAUGUGUGUGAAGUAUGCAUGAAAACAUUUACUCAAAAGUGUAGUUUAAACAUGCAUAUGCGUAUUCACACAGGACAGAAAUCUCAUAUGUGUGAAGUAUGUAAGGAAACAUUUACCCAAAAGGUUACAUUAAACAUGCAUAUACUUACUCACACACAAGUGAAACAGCACGAGUGUGAGGUAUGUAAGAAGUCAUUUAUACGAAAGGUCAGUUUAAAUAAACAUAUGCUUACUCACAGUGGAGAAAAACCUCAUAUGUGUGAAGUAUGUAAAAAAUCAUUUAGACUUAGACAGAAUUUAAUUGCCCAUAUGCGUAUUCACACAGGAGAGAAACCUCGUGUGAGGUAUGGAAGAGGUCGUAUAGUCCAAAAGGUAAUUUAAACAUAUGCAUAUUCUUACGGGAGACAAACCUUGCAUGCGAGGUAUGUAAAUGUGAUAGUAAAUAGUGAUUUAAAUUUCUGAUUUCUUUACUGCUAAUGGAAUUGAAGUCUUAUAAGUUAACUAGUCAUUUUGACAAAUGAAGAAACAUGUUUAUGUAUGCUGAAAGAAGCUUUAUAUCUGAAGGAAGAUUUAGGUUAGUAACAACCUGUAAUUUUCAGUGCAAUAGGACUUAUGCAUGAAGCAUAGAAUCUUCACUAUGUAAGGUCAACUAUGUUUUAAUUGCAGUGGAUAGCAAAAUUCCUAGAAUUUAGAGAUCACUCACCGUUAGAAUUUAAGAUAUGCAGAUUACUUUUUAGGAUCAUCAAUGUGCCAUGUGGCCUAGAGUCUACUGCUGACCCUGUGUGACCAUCUGAAGACAAUGCUUAAUCUACCCCAAAGUUGUUUUGAAGACUACUUUGGAUAUGUAAAAUUCUGAGCCCGGGAAAAGCACAUGAACUUGAUGGCUUCAUUGGCGCUUUUGAAUGUUAAUUUUACCAAGCUAAUGAAAACUGGAAAACUUUAUAUGUGAGAAGAAAGGUUUGAGCAGUCAGAAACUUGCAAGUUAUCAGGAGAUAUUUUGUUGAUAUUGUUUGAUCAGAAGUAAGGCACAAUGUUCAAGAUGAGAUCUUAAAUGUUUCAAAAGUUUAUCAAUAUUCUAUUUUGUAUGAUGAACAACAAAAAGAUUCUCAAACUAAAAACAGUAUUCCUUAUCCUUAUUAUCCGUAAUUUGCUUCAAAGUAAAAAAGAGAUGAUAUGUAAAUUUAGCCUUUUUGUAUCAGCGGUGGUUGUAUGUUAAGAUAUAAAUUCACUAAACCAUAAUUAAUGCUGUGCACUAUACAUAAUUUUCUAAGUAUUUGGAGAAUGUGACCUUAUACAGCAUAUUUAAUAAAAAUAAGAAGAUGUGAUUUAUAAACUUAGAUGUCCAAUAUAGUUAUUUGAUUUUGAAAUAAAAUAUUUAUACAAAUCUAAAUAAAAUACUUCUGCAUUUAAUUUAGUAAAGGCAUUUAUAAGUAUUUCUAAAAUAUUCAUUUGUUUUCUUAUUCUACUUAUUUUAAAUUCAUAUGCUUAAUUUCCACCCAAGGUCCUCUGUGAAUUAACUGAAUAUCCUUAAAGGGCAUUUUCACACUUUGCAGUAAAACUUGAGAAAUUUUAAUUAUAAUUAUCCAGCGUUUCACAGGGUUUUAAUGCAUUGUGGUAGCUAACCAUUCUAAAUUAAAAAUAUGUUUAUAUCUAUUUGGAAACUUUCUUGACUUUAAUUUUUUACUUCAUGUCAGCCUAUUUAACCUUUUUGUCACCUAAUAAAUUUGAAAGAACCUUGUAACCAAGCCCGAGAAAAAAAACUUUUUUAGGCCAAAUGUUUUCAUUAACACUUAAUUCCCCCCCAGCCUCUCUGCAUUUAACUACAAUAUUUAGAAUUAUUUUUAAUAAUCUGUUAAAAGUUAUAUUUGUUUCUUUUUGAUUUAUGGGAUGCUAGAUGUAAUUGUGAUGAAAAUGCUUGAUGUGAUAAAAAAUGUUUAUUUCUGAACUGAGUACUUCUACAGUGAUGUCACUGCAAAUAAAGAGGAUGAAAGAA
This is an RNA transcript of Stegodyphus dumicola, 3033 nucleotides long. RefSeq lists it as uncharacterized. Lineage: Eukaryota; Metazoa; Arthropoda; Arachnida; Araneae; Eresidae. The record is from RefSeq and is a predicted model, not a curated record.